Molecule: ribosomal RNA, 484 nt
Filed under: uncultured bacterium
Lineage: Bacteria
Description: partial 16S ribosomal RNA
Rfam family: Bacterial small subunit ribosomal RNA
Source: RNAcentral
AUUGAACGCUGGCGGCAGGCCUAACACAUGCAAGUCGAGCGGAUGAAGGGAGCUUGCUCCUGGAUUCAGCGGCGGACGGGUGAGUAAUGCCUAGGAAUCUGCCUGGUAGUGGGGGAUAACGUCCGGACACGGGCGCUAAUACCGCAUACGUCCUGAGGGAGAAAGUAGGGGAUCUUCGGACCUCACGCUAUCAGAUGAGCCUAGGUCGGAUUAGCUAGUUGGUGGGGUAAAGGCCUACCAAGGCGACGAUCCGUAACUGGUCUGAGAGGAUGAUCAGUCACACUGGAACUGAGACACGGUCCAGACUCCUACGGGAGGCAGCAGUGGGGAAUAUUGGACAAUGGGCGAAAGCCUGAUCCAGCCAUGCCGCGUGUGUGAAGAAGGUCUUCGGAUUGUAAAGCACUUUAAGUUGGGAGGAAGGGCAGUAAGUUAAUACCUUGCUGUUUUGACGUUACCAACAGAAUAAGCACCGGCUAACUUCGUG